CGCGGCCUAUCAGCUUGUUGGUGAGGUAACGGCUCACCAAGGCAUCGACGGGUAGCUGGUCUGAGAGGAUGAUCAGCCACACUGGGACUGAGACACGGCCCAGACUCCUACGGGAGGCAGCAGUAGGGAAUCUUGCACAAUGGGCGAAAGCCUGAUGCAGCGACGCCGCGUGGGGGAUGAAGGCCUUCGGGUUGUAAACCCCUUCCAGUAGGGACGAAAAUGACGGUACCUACAGAAGAAGGUGCGGCCAACUACGUGCCAGCAGCCGCGGUGACACGUAGGCACCAAGCGUUGUCCGGAUUUAUUGGGCGUAAAGAGCUCGUAGGCGGUUCAGUUAGUCGGGUGUGAAAACUCUGGGCUCAACCCAGAGACGCCACCCGAUACUGCUGUGACUAGAGUACGGUAGGGGAGUGGGGAAUUCCUGGUGUAGCGGUGAAAUGCGCAGAUAUCAGGAGGAACACCAGUGGCGAAGGCGCCACUCUGGGCCGUAACUGGCGCUGAGGAGCGAAAGCAUGGGUAGCAAACAGGAUUAGAUACCCUGGUAGUCCAUGCCGUAAACGUUGGGCACUAGGUGUGGGUCUCAACCAACGAGAUCCGCGCCGUCGCUAACGCAUUAAGUGCCCCGCCUGGGGAGUACGG
Molecule: ribosomal RNA, 639 nt
Filed under: uncultured Actinomycetes bacterium
Lineage: Bacteria; Bacillati; Actinomycetota; Actinomycetes
Description: bacterial SSU rRNA
Rfam family: Bacterial small subunit ribosomal RNA
Source: RNAcentral